UAGAAUAGCAACAUUAUACCACUUUUCAUUCAUUUAAUGUAUUCAGACUGCAAUUACUUACAAAAUUUAAGACAAGGAAAUGAGUGUGUAGGGGGAUAUGUAUCAGCUAAUGUGAUUCAUUAAGUACAGGUGGGUGAAAUAUGUUCACGUACAGCAGCAAGGAUGAGGUGGCUUUAACAGGCCUUCAGCAAUGAGAUGGGUGCUGGUACUUGACAAGGUGAAUACUGGCCAGCACUAUUAGAAAAACGUGAGUUAAUCUAGGACAGCUCCAUGCACCACAGAGGAUUUCCAGUUUCUAUCUUCCGGACCAAUUUUUGGAACUAUUUCAUCUACAAGAUAUGGUCGGCACAAGGACCAGCAGCGUAGGCCAGACAUGAAUGAACUGUGCCUGGAAAUGAGAAGCAGGCUCUUAGUGAUUAGAGCAAUCAAAUUGCAGAGAAUAGGAGGAAAAACACCCUUAACACUUUUAAGAUGCAGCACACUAAUUGAGUAAGCCUCAGUUCAGAGUGCUCUGUUGUGCUUUACAUUCUCAUGUCCAGCCGCAAUGCUGACUGGAAAUUGCAACACCAGUGUGUCAAACUGAAUGUACGUGAUUCACCUUUCACUGAAAGUUGUUUAUUAUACAACCGGAUAGAGUCAUCUUAUUUUAUAAGAUCAAUUUUUUCAUAGCCAGUCUCCGACAAGUUAUUGUGAGCUCUCACUGUCUUAAUCAUCUGUAACUUUGAAUCAUGCUUGAGAUGACUUCUAUUCAGAUGGCAAAGUGUAGGAACCGAGGACAUCACUGCUAUUCUCAAAUAAAUCAUAGCACCAGGAUCAGGGAAACAAAAUGUUCUCAAAACAUAAAUCUCCUUUGGAUUUAGAAUUCAGGUAACACUAAUUACAACACAAAUAACCCUGCAAAUACUUUACAUAUUUGAAAUAAUGAUAACAAAGGCCCCAACUGCCAUAACUGUACCGUUAGAGUAACGGUAACAUGACCUUCUCAACAGGAACUUAGCCAAACAUCUUUCCACCUUUCCUUCAGAGGGAGGAUUUAGUCCUCAGAAUUACUUAUUAUAUCCAGAGCAUUUUUAAUAGUAGGAUGAGAAAUGAGUCCCAUGCCCUCACAGCCAAAUGUGGGACACUAUGUCAUGGACAAGGAACAAGUCAGCUUUCAACAAAUGGAACUGCAUCAGCAGAGGGCUUUCAGACUGAAGACCCUGCAGAUCCAGAAGAGAGUAAACAGUUUUACCUCAACCCACAAGUUGUACUUCUUUUUCCCCCACUCUCUCAUCCAACCCACUGGGAAGGGGGAGAACGAGUGAACGACUGUGUGGAGCUGACCACCUGAACCACAGCACCUCCCUUCCUGCAAGGAGACGAAUGGAAUGAGCUGAUAAAGGUGAAUGCACUUAAACAGAAUUGCACAGUCCUCCAUAUUUUUACAGAUCAGAUGCCUAAUAAAAAGGGAGAUACUGGUUUAUUGGUGUUGAAAAUACAUGGGGACAUUAGCAGCCAUGUUCUUCUAUAACUGCAUACUGCUCCACUUAUACAGGAGCUGCAUCUACCUUGAAGGAAAUCCUUCCAAUCGUUGUAGAGAGAAGCGUUGCAAUAUAACAAAACAUUUAAGCACGUACACCAAUAUAUAGUUAGAUGCAUCAAAGUAAAGCACUGCACUGAGCAAGUACAGAUAUACUCACUUCCUGUAUUUUUUAUCAGCAGAAAUACGCACAUAAGGUACAGGAAUAUGCAAGCAGUCCUUGAUGCAAAGAAUUCAAUAUACUUUCUGCAGGUGUGUACGAGAUAAGACUCCAAACUCUGACAAAGAGCUUGAGAAAUAACAAAACUCAACAAAAAGCCUUUAUCUAAUUUUGAA
This is a long non-coding RNA of Numida meleagris (helmeted guineafowl), 1855 nucleotides long. RefSeq lists it as uncharacterized. Lineage: Eukaryota; Metazoa; Chordata; Aves; Galliformes; Numididae. The record is from RefSeq and is a predicted model, not a curated record. The transcript has 3 exons.